UACGGAGGGUGCAAGCGUUAUCCGGAUUCACUGGGUUUAAAGGGUGCGUAGGAGGGCAGGUAAGUCAGUGGUGAAAUCUCCAAGCUUAACUUGGAAACUGCCGUUGAUACUAUCUGUCUUGAAUAUUGUGGAGGUGAGCGGAAUAUGUCAUGUAGCGGUGAAAUGCUUAGAUAUGAAAUAGAACACCAAUUGCGAAGGCAGCUCGCUACACAUAUAUUGACUCUGAGGCACGAAAGCGUGGGGAUCAAACAGG
This 253-nucleotide ribosomal RNA is filed under the name uncultured bacterium. RNAcentral's name for it is "partial 16S ribosomal RNA". It matches the Rfam family "Bacterial small subunit ribosomal RNA", at positions 524 to 776 of the family's 1533-position model. The record is from RNAcentral.